Long non-coding RNA from Dendronephthya gigantea, 470 nucleotides. RefSeq lists it as uncharacterized. The record is from RefSeq and is a predicted model, not a curated record. NCBI's taxonomy places the organism in Eukaryota, Metazoa, Cnidaria, Anthozoa, Malacalcyonacea, Nephtheidae. The transcript is spliced from 4 exons.
CUUUGCAGAAAUAUCUACAAUCUGAUUUAUAUAAACUACAAAUCAUGUCAUCUUGUGAUAUUUCCUGAACAUAGUUUAUGCUUGUCUUGUAAUAGAAAGGAAAUACAAACCGCAGUUUGCUGAUUUCAUUCUGGUUUCCUUUCUAGUAGUGCAUAAACAAAUGACUUAUUUAGAAGACGGACAAUACAGGAACAAAAUCCAACAUUUUGUCGCAUCAAAAGCAGACUUAUUAUUCAAACUAAAAGGAAAGGAACGACUGAGAAGUGGAAUUGACUACAAUGUGGACAGAGCUCAGGAGGUUUACAGUAUUUUUGCAUUUCCCCUCCCUCCACUGGAGAGUGGAAUGCAAAUAUCAGUUGUGGAAAGAAGAGCUCAGAUUUUUGAGCUAUUAAAAAUUGGUGAUAUUGUUGUUGGAAAAGUUGUUGGAAAACGCCCCUUUGGUGUUUUUGUGAAGGAUCCUUUCUCUGGUU